This 281-nucleotide ribosomal RNA is filed under the name uncultured prokaryote. RNAcentral describes it as "partial 16S ribosomal RNA". It matches the Rfam family "Bacterial small subunit ribosomal RNA", at positions 524 to 803 of the family's 1533-position model. The record is from RNAcentral.
CACGGGGGUUGCGAGCGUUGUCCGGAAUUACUAGGCCUAAAGGGCAGGCAGGCGGAUCCAUAAGUUUAUCGUUUAAGGCGUCGGCUUAACCGGCGUAGGGCGGUAGAUACUGUGGAUCUGGAAUGCGGUUGGGGAAGACAGAAUUCCUGGUGUAGCGGUGGAAUGCGCAGAGAUCAGGAGGAAUACCGAAGGCGAAGGCAGUCUUCCAAGCCGUUAUUGACGCUCAACUGCGAAGGUGUGGGUAUCAAACAGGAUUAGAUACCCCGUAGUCCCUGAGCGGG